GGAAGGGUGGCUGAGUGGUUUAAGGCACUCGAUUCGAAAUCGAACGUAGUCAAAAGCUACCGUGGGUUCAAAUCCCACCCCUUCCG
RNAcentral lists this transfer RNA (86 nucleotides) under Roseimicrobium gellanilyticum. Its description in RNAcentral is "tRNA-Ser". It matches the Rfam family "tRNA". From Rfam's summary of the family: Transfer RNA (tRNA) molecules are approximately 80 nucleotides in length. Their secondary structure includes four short double-helical elements and three loops (D, anti-codon, and T loops). Further hydrogen bonds mediate the characteristic L-shaped molecular structure. tRNAs have two regions of fundamental functional importance: the anti-codon, which is responsible for specific mRNA codon recognition, and the 3' end, to which the tRNAs corresponding amino acid is attached (by aminoacyl-tRNA synthetases). tRNAs cope with the degeneracy of the genetic code in two manners: having more than one tRNA (with a specific anti-codon) for a particular amino acid; and 'wobble' base-pairing, i.e. permitting non-standard base-pairing at the 3rd anti-codon position. The record is from RNAcentral. Lineage: Bacteria; Pseudomonadati; Verrucomicrobiota; Verrucomicrobiia; Verrucomicrobiales; Verrucomicrobiaceae.